GCCACGCAGAGUUCACAUUUGGCUAUUUCUCAAAAUAGAAAAGUCAAGCUUCUUGCUGUUCUAACUUCAAAUCCAGCUGUCUGUGGGGAACCUGCAGUACUUGCUCGCUCUUCUUGCCUGGUCAGCACACCUUAUCUCUCUGUCUCUCUUUGCCCACGUUGUCUCCUUAUCAGCACCGCAGAGACUGCACCUUUGAGCCCCCGGGAUAACCUCUCCCUAACAUAACCACGCCUUCAAAGGCCUUUUACCUCCUGAAGAAACAGUUGCAGAUUCCAGGCUUCUUCGGGGAAGGAGCGUGCCUUCUAACACCUAGCACAGUAUUCAAACCAGAUCUAUUAGUGCCUGUCCUUUGAUGCGGCCGAGUCUCCUCUUUGAACAAAAACCAGGCAGAAGUAGUUCAGAAGUUUCAUUUAUUCUGUUGAGUAACUGAAUCAAUUCAAAACUUGUUUUUCCCUCUUUUAAUUCCAGAUCCUGGGUGUUUGGCUGACAUACAGAUACCGGAACCAGAAAGACCCUCGCGCCAACCCGAGCGCUUUCCUUUGACGAGAAGACAAGGAGAGGCUUUCCUGUGAUCUUGUUCUCUUUCUCCAAUCUCAAGUUAAACUAAGUUGUUCAUAUGACGAAGGAAAUGGUAUUUGAAAACCACAUUAUCAAUGAGCGAGUUAAAUAUUUUACUCUUAAGUUUCUCCAAACAGUUUGUUCUUUCCAUUGCUGAAAAGGCAGUUGAUGUCUCCAGUGUUCCCUGACCCUCAGUGGUCCCUGUAACCCUACUGUUGUCCGUUUCUGGCUCUGUCCACUGUGGCCUUUCUUAGCAUUUUUACCUGCUGUAAUCUGUGUAUGACACCCCUGGGUAGAUGAUAUUGUGAGCCCAGAUCUUCAUCUCACCGGGCUAAUUGUCCAGAGUGCUGUGCGGGCAGCUUCACCCUAGACAGUUGAUGGUUUUUGAAGCCAGAAAGGAAGAGACUCUGUUGUGUUCGGUUCAUUAGGAGAAAUCUAAGUUCCCAAUCCUUUUUGUCUUUUGGGAACGCUACAUUGUAGUGAAAAGUGUUAGCACAGAAGUAAUAAUUUAGUUCUAGUAGUCUGUCAGUUACAUCCAUGUAUUCUAGAGAUAGCUGUGUCUUUAGGAAAAUGAAGUUCAGUUUUUGAUCUUUUUAGUCAAGGGCAAAGAAAUACCAUUUGGGAAAUGUUUUGUUGUGUAACAUUUAUCUUCAGCUCUCAAAAUGGGAUGAAUUUGAGGAAGAGAGAGUAUAUAUCUACAUAAUCUGACAUUUUUUUUUUAAAAAAAUAGGAAGUUCAAAACCCUAUAUAUGUAAACAACUUUCAGUCAAUACAUUGGCCCAGGCCCAUGUAACAAAUAGAUAUUUGAUUCUCAUCUUUAAAAAAGUAACUUUUUGUUUCAAGACAGGGUUUCUUUGUGUAGCCUUGGUUGUCCUAGAACUAGCUCUGUAGACCAGGCUGGCCUUGAACUCACAGGGAUCCGCCUGCCUCUGCCUCCCAAGUGCUGGGAUUAAAGGCACGUGCCACCAUCACCUGUCAAAAAAUAACUUUUUAAUAACAUUUCUUGGUAUUGUGACAGCAAGUUGUCAUAUCCAAAUAUAUUUGAAUGUACUACCUCCCAUAAGUUGAGAGAGAAAUGAUGUUUGUGGCUCUGUAUACUACAUUAAAAAAUAAAAGCUGAAAACCUUCCUUUGUAUAUAGAUGUUUGAAUCAAAAGAAGGUAGAAACAUUGACAAGGUAAGAAGGCAUCUUUCCUUCUGGUUUUCCCUAGCCUUUUAUUUACCUUAAGAUGGUGUUUAACUAAGCCUUGGAAAUAAAUUCUCAGCAAUGAUGUCUGUUGGUAGUUAUCCCCACAUCCUUUCUUAGGUUAAAAAAAUAAAUAUGGGGCUUGAGAGAUGGCUCAGAGGUUAAGAGCACUGUCUGCUCAUCCAGAGGUCCUGAGUUCAAUUCCCAGCAACCACAUGGUGGCUCACAACCAUCUGUAAUGAGAUCUGGUGCCCUCUUCUGGCCUGCACAUGUACAUGUAGGUGCAACGCUGUAUACAUAAUAAAUCUUUAAAAAAAU
Molecule: long non-coding RNA, 2061 nt
Filed under: Rattus norvegicus (Norway rat)
Lineage: Eukaryota; Metazoa; Chordata; Mammalia; Rodentia; Muridae
Description: long non-coding RNA NONRATT024976
Source: RNAcentral